This 30-nucleotide non-coding RNA is filed under the name Mus musculus (house mouse). The record is from RNAcentral. Lineage: Eukaryota; Metazoa; Chordata; Mammalia; Rodentia; Muridae.
UAAUAUUUAGUUAUUUAAUUUGUUCUACUA